Molecule: ribosomal RNA, 432 nt
Filed under: uncultured bacterium
Lineage: Bacteria
Description: partial 16S ribosomal RNA
Rfam family: Bacterial small subunit ribosomal RNA
Source: RNAcentral
AACGAACGCUGGCGGCAUGCCUAACACAUGCAAGUCGAACGAGACCUUCGGGUCUAGUGGCGCACGGGUGCGUAACGCGUGGGAACCUGCCCUUAGGUUCGGAAUACCUCCCCGAAAGGGGUGCUAAUACCGGAUAAUGUCUUCGGACCAAAGAUUUAUCGCCUUUGGAUGGGCCCGCGUUGGAUUAGCUAGUUGGUAGGGUAAAGCCUACCAAGGCGACGAUCCAUAGCUGGUCUGAGAGGAUGAUCAGCCACACUGGGACUGAGACACGGCCCAGACUCCUACGGGAGGCAGCAGUGGGGAAUAUUGGACAAUGGGCGAAAGCCUGAUCCAGCAAUGCCGCGUGAGUGAUGAAGGCCUGAGGGUUGUAAAGCUCUUUUACCCGGGAUGAUAAUGACAGUACCGGGAGAAUAAGCUCCGGCUAACUCCGUG